This 482-nucleotide ribosomal RNA is filed under the name Bacillus sp. R2002. RNAcentral describes it as "bacterial SSU rRNA". It matches the Rfam family "Bacterial small subunit ribosomal RNA", at positions 39 to 491 of the family's 1533-position model. Lineage: Bacteria; Bacillati; Bacillota; Bacilli; Caryophanales; Bacillaceae. The record is from RNAcentral.
CGACGUGCGCGGCGGGGCAUGCCCCUUAAUGCAGUACAGCGGAGUUGAUAAGAAGCUUGCUUCCUUGAUGCUUAGCGGCGGACGGGUGAGUAACACGUAGGCAACCUGCCCUCAAGCUUGGGACAACUACCGGAAACGGUAGCUAAUACCGAAUACUUGCUUUCUUCGCCUGAAGGAAGCUGGAAAGACGGAGCAAUCUGUCACUUGAGGAUGGGCCUGCGGCGCAUUAGCUAGUUGGUGAGGUAACGGCUCACCAAGGCGACGAUGCGUAGCCGACCUGAGAGGGUGAUCGGCCACACUGGGACUGAGACACGGCCCAGACUCCUACGGGAGGCAGCAGUAGGGAAUCUUCCGCAAUGGGCGAAAGCCUGACGGAGCAAUGCCGCGUGAGUGAUGAAGGUUUUCGGAUCGUAAAGCUCUGUUGCCAGGGAAGAACGUCCUUGAAGUAACUGCUCAAGGAGUGACGGUACCUGAAAAAAAGC